Molecule: ribosomal RNA, 2123 nt
Filed under: Scoliquadracus longipetiolatus
Lineage: Eukaryota; Metazoa; Arthropoda; Arachnida; Trombidiformes; Diptilomiopidae
Description: partial small subunit ribosomal RNA
Rfam family: Eukaryotic small subunit ribosomal RNA
Source: RNAcentral
UGUAAAGUUCAAGCUUUGAUUUAAGAAGCGAAACCGCGAAUGGCUCAUUAAAUCAGUCAUAAUCUACUUGAUUGUUUGAAGGUUAUAUGGAUAACUGUGGUAAUUCUAGAGCUAAUACAUGCGCAAAUGGGGCGACUAGCGAUAGAAGCUCCGCGUUUAUUAGACUAAGACCAGCAUUAGCUGAGUGGUGACUCUGAGUAAAUAACGGGUGAAAGCCCGUGUUGCCGACCUGGGUGCUUAACACACCCAGGCGAAUCAAUCGAGUGUCUGCUCUAUCAACUGUGGAUGGUAGGAUAACGGCCUACCAUGGUGGUGACGGGUAACGGGGAGUUAGGGCUCGACUCCGGAGAACAAGCCUGAGAAACGGCUAGUAGGACUAAGGUCUGCAGCAGGCGCGAAACUUACACAAUGCUCGAUUAAGUUGGAGCGAUGUAGUGAAGAAAAAUAACGAUGUGUUUGUAUUUAAACAUACUGACACAAUUGGAAUGAGACGACUUUAAAUUAGUUAGUCGAGUAACAAAUGGAGGGCAAGUCUGGUGCCAGCAGCCGCGGUAAUUCCAGCUCCAUUAGCAUACAUUAAAGUUGUUGCGGUUAAAAAGCUCGUAGUUGAAGUGUAGGUUGUUAGGUUGGAUCGUAGUCCGUUAAGGGUUUCUUCGGAUUCCUGGUCUACACAUCCACAUCUCACAACUGUUUCGUCACUUAAUCGAGUGCGAAGCGGGGUUGAUAUAUGCGCCUCACGGUGCACAUACCAACCAUGUUUACCUUGAGAAAAUUAGAGUGCUCAGAGCAGGCAGUUGGGGUUUAAUCGCCCCUCUAUGCUUGAAUAAUGUUGCAUGGAAUAAUAGAAUACGGCCUCGGUUCUAUUCUGUUGGUCUUAUAGAACAACAAACAGGUUGCGUUGGGAAAGUUAUCUGGGCUCAGGUUGUGUUGUCUUGGUCUUAACCGACCAAGUACCGCGCCUCCAGUGUAACAUCAAACCCCACACAACUGAGGCAAUGGUUAAAAGAAAUAGUCGCGGCGGCAUCAGUACUGCAUCGUGAGAGGUGAAAUUCUUAGACCGAUGCAAGACUAACUGAAGCGAAAGCGUUUGCCGAGGAUAUUUUCAUUAAUCAAGAACGAAAGUUAGAGGUUCGAAGGCGAUCAGAUACCGCCCUAGUUCUAACCAUAAACGUUGCCAACUAGCAAUUGGGAUGCGGUUUUCUUGCAGUGAAUAGCUAACCGCUAUAAUCUCUGCACCACGACCCUCCCAGCGGCUCUCGUAGGGAAACCAAAGUGUUUGGGUUCCGGGGGAAGUAUGAUUGCAAAGUUGAAACUUAAAGGAAUUGACGGAAGGGCACCACCAGGAGUGGAGCCUGCGGCUUAAUUUGACUCAACACGGGGAAACUUACUAGAUUAGAACUCUGGAAUGAUUGACAGAUUGAUAGCUCUUUCUUGAUUCAGAGGAUGGUGGUGCAUGGCCGUUCUUGAUUCGUAUUCCGAAACGUCUGCUUAAUUGCGAUAACGAGUGAGACCUCAACCGAUUAACUAGGGGUAUAGUGUGUUAGGGGACAAAACGUUGGUUGUUGUGUGUGAUGGGUUUCGGCCUGUCACUACUUCUUUCCAAUACUCCAUGCCCGCUUGCCGCCUUCUUAGUGGGAUAAACGGUGUUUUAGCCGUAAGAAACGAGGCAAUAACAGGUCUGUGAUGCCCUUAGAUACUCUAGGCCGCACGCGUGCUACAAUGGCGUGUGCAGAGAGCUUGUUCAAAGUUCAACCAGUGGAGAGGUGGCGAGUUGGUUUGUGGUAGGGGCAACUUUGCCAUAGAUCGCUUGUUAACCGACACUGGACCUGAGCUGCGAGAAACCUGGGUCGAGAGAUCCAGGCAAUCAUGAAUACACGCCGUGAUUUGGGAUUGGGGAUUGCAAUUGUUGCCCAUGAACGAGGAAUUCCCAGUAAGCGCGAUUCAUCAUAUCGCGUUGAUUACGUCCCUGCCCUUUGUACACACCGCCCGUCGCUACUACCGAUUGGAAGUUUUAGUGAGGCAUUUGGAUGCGUAGUUAAACGAGGGGCAACUCUCAUUAACAGUGCAGAAGUCUGUCGAACUCAAAUUUCUAGAGGAAGUAAAAGUCGUAACAAGGUUUCCGU